This 957-nucleotide unclassified non-coding RNA is filed under the name Hevea brasiliensis (rubber tree). Lineage: Eukaryota; Viridiplantae; Streptophyta; Magnoliopsida; Malpighiales; Euphorbiaceae. The record is from RNAcentral.
CAUAGCUGAAAUUCUUGCAUUCUUGCAAGUAAAUAUGCAUGAUUUUGUAAUUUCUAAAAUUCAAUCAAACACAGUUACAAUUAUGUCUAAAAUUUCUAUCAAAAUUUGCUUUCUUAUCCAACUACAGUAUCAAUUAUACAUCCAAGAAAAAGACUAUAAACUGCAAAAAAGAACUGUAUAUGACUGAACAAAUAUAUAAAAUUGGCAUUUUGGCAAUAAGGCUAAUCAGUUGUGAAGUGGGUUUGGCCCUCCUGGAACUUUUCUAUGAGAAACUCCAUAAACUGAGCCGAUCUCCUCUUUGCCAGAUCCUUCAGGAGCUUUCGCGGGAAAAUGCCAAGAAAAUGGUGGAGAGAACACAGGUUCGGCGGUUUGCUCAGUUGCUUGAUCACCUUUAUUUAAGUGGAGGUGGCGGCAACUUGAGAGCUGGCUAAGACCAAGUAUGAUCAACAGGCCCAGAAAUGCGAGUCUUGGACUUGGAAUUGGAAUCUUCAUGGUUCUUGAUUAUGAGAAACUGCAGAAAAAGAAGGUGACUCUAAACAUAUAAGCAGGAGCUACUAAUUGAAUUGAAAUUUAUAAAUAGAAGCAGGGUUUGUGCGUUCCUUCUAUUAUAGAUGAAGCAACCAGUGGUGAGCAUAGAGCCAAAACUCGCAAUUAAUCCUGUUAAGAUUACGGAAAUGCCCUUUUUCUUGCUGCAUAUUUCCAUUAUAUCACUUUAUUGGCCAAACUGCCAAACUUAUGAGAAAAAUACAAUGAGACCUUCUGAUAAUGAAGAACCUUUGCCUAAUUUCUCAACAAGACAUCCAUGAUCUUUAAAAGAUUCAAAAAGCUUGAAGAUCAUCAGGGGAAUGCAAUUAUAAGAACAUGGAAACAUGCCCAACUUGACCUGAACACCAGGGUAGAAGGUAGAUUCUGAUUUGAUGUAUCAAAGGACAGCUUGGACUUUUCAUCAUAACCCAA